Molecule: ribosomal RNA, 389 nt
Filed under: Klebsiella sp.
Lineage: Bacteria; Pseudomonadati; Pseudomonadota; Gammaproteobacteria; Enterobacterales; Enterobacteriaceae
Description: bacterial SSU rRNA
Rfam family: Bacterial small subunit ribosomal RNA
Source: RNAcentral
GUCGAGCGGUAGCACAGAGAGCUUGCUCUCGGGUGACGAGCGGCGGACGGGUGAGUAAUGUCUGGGAAACUGCCUGAUGGAGGGGGAUAACUACUGGAAACGGUAGCUAAUACCGCAUAACGUCGCAAGACCAAAGUGGGGGACCUUCGGGCCUCAUGCCAUCAGAUGUGCCCAGAUGGGAUUAGCUAGUAGGUGGGGUAACGGCUCACCUAGGCGACGAUCCCUAGCUGGUCUGAGAGGAUGACCAGCCACACUGGAACUGAGACACGGUCCAGACUCCUACGGGAGGCAGCAGUGGGGAAUAUUGCACAAUGGGCGCAAGCCUGAUGCAGCCAUGCCGCGUGUGUGAAGAAGGCCUUCGGGUUGUAAAGCACUUUCAGCGGGGAGGA